CGGGUGGUAAUGCCGGAUGUUCCACAUGAUCGCAUGUGAUUGUGGGAAAGAUUCUAUCGGCGUGGGAUGGGGUCGCGUCCUAUCAGCUUGUUGGUGAGGUAACGGCUCACCAAGGCUUCGACGGGUAGCCGGCCUGAGAGGGCGACCGGCCACAUUGGGACUGAGAUACGGCCCAGACUCCUACGGGAGGCAGCAGUGGGGAAUAUUGCACAAUGGGCGCAAGCCUGAUGCAGCGACGCCGCGUGAGGGAUGGAGGCCUUCGGGUUGUAAACCUCUUUUGUUUGGGAGCAAGCCUUCGGGUGAGUGUACCUUUCGAAUAAGCGCCGGCUAACUACGUGCCAGCAGCCGCGGUAAUACGUAGGGCGCAAGCGUUAUCCGGAUUUAUUGGGCGUAAAGGGCUCGUAGGCGGCUCGUCGCGUCCGGUGUGAAAGUCCAUCGCUUAACGGUGGAUCUGCGCCGGGUACGGGCGGGCUGGAGUGCGGUAGGGGAGACUGGAAUUCCCGGUGUAACGGUGGAAUGUGUAGAUAUCGAAAAAA
Molecule: ribosomal RNA, 536 nt
Filed under: Bifidobacterium bifidum
Lineage: Bacteria; Bacillati; Actinomycetota; Actinomycetes; Bifidobacteriales; Bifidobacteriaceae
Description: bacterial SSU rRNA
Rfam family: Bacterial small subunit ribosomal RNA
Source: RNAcentral